ACCUACGGGGGGCAGCAGUGGGGAAUAUUGCGCAAUGGGCGAAAGCCUGACGCAGCGACGCCGCGUGAGGGAUGAAGGUCUUCGGAUCGUAAACCUCUGUCAGCAGGGAAGAACGGUCACUGUGCUAAUCAGCAGUGAAUUGACGGUACCUGCAAAGGAAGCACCGGCUAACUCCGUGCCAGCAGCCGCGGUAAUACGGAGGGUGCGAGCGUUAAUCGGAAUUACUGGGCGUAAAGCGCUCGUAGGCGGUAUGUCAAGCCAAGGGUGAAAUCCCCGCGCUCAACGUGGGAACUGCCUUUGAAACU
RNAcentral lists this ribosomal RNA (305 nucleotides) under uncultured bacterium. Its description in RNAcentral is "bacterial SSU rRNA". It matches the Rfam family "Bacterial small subunit ribosomal RNA", at positions 337 to 634 of the family's 1533-position model. The record is from RNAcentral.